GCCCUUUUUUUAUUGCUUUUCUAGCCAUGUCUCCGCUGCGUGCUCCCUUACUUCGCGUUGUCCCGGCUUUGCUAUCUUGCCUCGCGCUGCUGUCGCUGUCCUGCCUCACGACGUUGCCUUGUCUGUGGGUGUUGUCGUAUGGGUGUUGUAUCGCACGAUGCUCCCUGCUGCGACCUGUGGGUGUUGUCGUGUUAGAAGUUGCUAGUGUCGCCAUCGCUGCUGCUCUCUUCUCCGC
RNAcentral lists this long non-coding RNA (235 nucleotides) under Arachis ipaensis. RNAcentral's name for it is "long non-coding RNA (AIPA_LNC002441)". The record is from RNAcentral. Lineage: Eukaryota; Viridiplantae; Streptophyta; Magnoliopsida; Fabales; Fabaceae.